Equus asinus (donkey) is the source of this 1599-nucleotide long non-coding RNA. Lineage: Eukaryota; Metazoa; Chordata; Mammalia; Perissodactyla; Equidae. The record is from Ensembl.
UGUCAGCCUGCCACUCUCCCGCACUGGUUCUCCACUUACAGGAUAUCAGGCUUCCUCUCAUUUUGCUACGGCAUAUCUUCAAAGAGCUUCUUAAUACAACUUCAUAGCAGGAUACAACAAGAAGAUGGCAGUCUGUGACCUGGAAGAGGGCCCCCUCUAGAGCCUGACCAUGCUGACAUCCUGAUCUUGGACUUCCAGCUUCCAGAACUAGAAUUCAAACCAAAGGACCUGAAAGGAAGAUGGCAGAGAGGGAUUCUGCUUUAUAUCUAACGGCCAAGGAAGACCUCUCUAAAGAGAUGACCUCUGUGUUGAGACCUGAAGGACAAGCCAGUUGCAUGAAGAGUUGGGGCAAUGUGCAGGUGAUGCUGAGGCUGCUGAUUUGGGGACCUCACUUUGAGAAUGAUGGGCAGUGGCAAAGUACACCAACUCUCGUGCGAGACUGGCUGAGUUCACGUCCCAACUAUACCUCCUCACUACAUAUAUGAUCUGGGAUCUGUCCUUACAUUCAUUGCCUGCUGAGACAACCCACAGGGCUUGAUGAGGCAAAAGGAAAAAUAAACCCUUAAGCUACAAUGUUUUGUUUUUCAAUCUUCUUGUCCAGUAUAAGUCUCAUACAGCAUCGCAAUUCCAUCUUAGCCUAACUUGAAAUUUUAAAGGAAAGAGCUCGUUUCCUAAGAAAGGAUGAAGCUGGACAGUCGGCUUCCUCUGAUGUCUUGCCUUAUCCCCCACUUAGGAAGCCCAUACGGUGAUUUGAGCCUGUGAAAAUUUCUGGUCAAAGAAGUCCUCCUACUUUAGGUAAUGGAGACAAGCAGAGUCCUCCUAGUUUAGGUAAUGGGAAAGUGUCUUCUCAUUUCUUUCCAGCUUUUCAUGGCUGAUGAUCAUGAGAAGCAGUGCACCAUAGGAGUUGAGGGUGGGCACGGGACACAGACCACCCAGGUUCAAAUUCUCACUCCUCUACUUCCUAAAUAUUUAUAGAUUUGGACAAAUUACCCAAUUUCUCUGAAACUUAUUUUUCUGAUCUUUGAAAUGGUAAUGAUAAUUUUCAGCGAUAUUGUAAAAAUUAAAUGGAAUAAUGAAUGCAGAAUGUAAGAAUUAAAUGAAAUAAUGCAAAAUGCUCAGCAUAGUGCUUGACUCAGAGUUAAUAGUCAAGAAAUAGUAGAUAUUACUAUCUUAACUAUCCACCUACGCUUAACUGACUGGCAAAGUUAACCACCUCUCUUUACUCCCUCUAAAAGAAAUACUGACUGAUGCCCCUGGAAUACCCUUAAGUACAUGGGCUUACUUCUCCUACCAGCUGAGUUAUAGCCUUAUCAAGAGUAUUAUUUGCUCCCAAACCUGUUUAUGCCAGUUACACUUGUAAUUGGGAUUUAAUUAAAUUUUAAGUAAGCAGAUGAAAUAUAAACAUGGAGAGUCAUUUCUAUAAAAACUAGGUUGAAUGCAUAAAUCAAUUCAAAUUGCAAAAAUAAGGUCAAACUAGGUGUGGUGAAGCAACUAAUUGUAACAGACUUAAAAAAUAGUGAUAAUCUAGAAGAAUUCUGGGCACAGAUUGAUUUUAAAAUGUCUUUAAGUUUUGGCUCUGCUUUUGAGAAACAAAUAUUG